GGGGUUGUGGCUUAGUGGCAGAGCACUUGCCUCACAUGUAUGAGGCACUGGGUUCAAUCCUCAGCACCA
This 69-nucleotide transfer RNA is filed under the name Ictidomys tridecemlineatus (thirteen-lined ground squirrel). RNAcentral's name for it is "Spermophilus tridecemlineatus (thirteen-lined ground squirrel) tRNA". It matches the Rfam family "tRNA". Rfam says of the family: Transfer RNA (tRNA) molecules are approximately 80 nucleotides in length. The record is from Rfam by way of RNAcentral. Lineage: Eukaryota; Metazoa; Chordata; Mammalia; Rodentia; Sciuridae.